AUCUAGCUGAAUGUACUGGAAGAAUAAGGAUCGGCUAACUCCGUGCCAGCAGCCGCGGUAAUACGGAGGAUCCGAGCGUAUCCGGAUUUAUGGGUUAAAGGGUGCGUAGGCGGCCUAUUAAGUCAGGGGUGAAAUACGGUGGCUCAACCAUCGCAGUGCCUUUGAUACUGAUGGGCUUGAAUCCAUUUGAAGUGGGCGGAAUAAGACAAGUAGCGGUGAAAUGCAUAGAUAUGUCUUAGAACUCCGAUUGCGAAGGCAGCUCACUAAGCUGGUAUUGACGCUGAUGCACGAAAGCGUGGGGAUCGAACAGGAUUAGAUACCCUGGUAGUCCACGCCCUAAACGAUGAUAACUCGAUGUUGGCGAUAGACAGCCAGCGUCCAAGCGAAAGCGUUAAGUUAUCCACCUGGGGAGUACGCCCGCAAGGGUGAAACUCAAAGGAAUUGACGGGGGCCCGCACAAGCGGAGGAGCAUGUGGUUUAAUUCGAUGAUACGCGAGGAACCUUACCCGGGCUUGAAAGUUAGUGAAGAGUGCAGAGACGCACUCGUCCUUCGGGACACGAAACUAGGUGCUGCAUGGCUGUCGUCAGCUCGUGCCGUGAGGUGUUGGGUUAAGUCCCGCAACGAGCGCAACCCCUAUGUUUAGUUGCCAGCAUGUAAUGGUGGGGACUCUAAACAGACUGCCUGUGCAAACAGAGAGGAAGGUGGGGACGACGUCAAGUCAUCAUGGCCCUUACGUCCGGGGCUACACACGUGCUACAAUGGAUGGUACAGCGGGCAGCUACAUAGCAAUAUGAUGCUAAUCUCUAAAAGCCAUUCACAGUUCGGAUUGGGGUCUGCAACUCGACCCCAUGAAGUUGGAUUCGCUAGUAAUCGCGUAUCAGCAAUGACGCGGUGAAUACGUUCCCGGGCCUUGUACACACCGCCCGUCAAGCCAUGAAAGUUGGGGGUACCUAAAGCAUGUACCGCAAGGAGCGUUUACGUAUCGUUUUAU
RNAcentral lists this ribosomal RNA (992 nucleotides) under uncultured bacterium. Its description in RNAcentral is "bacterial SSU rRNA". It matches the Rfam family "Bacterial small subunit ribosomal RNA", at positions 463 to 1460 of the family's 1533-position model. The record is from RNAcentral.